This 254-nucleotide ribosomal RNA is filed under the name uncultured bacterium. RNAcentral's name for it is "partial 16S ribosomal RNA". It matches the Rfam family "Bacterial small subunit ribosomal RNA", at positions 524 to 776 of the family's 1533-position model. The record is from RNAcentral.
UACGGGGGGAGCAAGCGUUGUUCGGAUUUACUGGGCGUAAAGGGCGCGUAGGCGGUCAGUGCAAGUCAGUUGUGAAAUCUCCGGGCUUAACUCGGAAAGGUCAACUGAUACUGCUCGACUAGAGUGCGGAAGGGGCAACUGGAAUUCUUGGUGUAGCGGUGAAAUGCGUAGAUAUCAAGAGGAACACCUGCGGCGAAGGCGGGUUGCUGGGCCGACACUGACGCUGAUGCGCGAAAGCCAGGGGAGCGAACGGG